RNAcentral lists this unclassified non-coding RNA (289 nucleotides) under Hevea brasiliensis (rubber tree). The record is from RNAcentral. Lineage: Eukaryota; Viridiplantae; Streptophyta; Magnoliopsida; Malpighiales; Euphorbiaceae.
AUGGCAUUUGGGUUGUUAUGCUAUAAGGGGUUAAGAGUUGUGACGAUGUUAAAACCUUAAAUUUUUGGCACAAUGGUAAGCGAUCAAUCCUAUAAUUAGUAUCAGAGCUAAGGUCAUGAGUUCGAUUCCCUGACAGGUGCUAAGGGUGGAUUGUUAGCACUGAGUGGGGAUAGCUCAAGGAGCCAGCAUUUUGUCCAGAUCCCUUUGACCCAUGACACUUAGAUUGUUACCCUAUAAAGGGUUUUAUAGUUAUGUCUACUAAAAAUUUAAACUUUUGGUACGGUGGUAA